This 28-nucleotide ribosomal RNA is filed under the name Ecklonia radiata. RNAcentral's name for it is "partial small subunit ribosomal RNA". RNAcentral also lists the same sequence under 2 other names. The record is from RNAcentral. Lineage: Eukaryota; Phaeophyceae; Laminariales; Lessoniaceae.
GAAGAUUCCGGACUGUGGCUCGCGUGCU